CCUACGGGUGGCUGCAGUGGGGAAUAUUGGACAAUGGGGGCAACCCUGAUCCAGCCAUGCCGCGUGUGUGAAGAAGGCCCUCGGGUUGUAAAGCACUUUCAGUGAGGAAGAACGCCUGGUGGUUAAUACCCAUCAGGAAAGACAUCACUCACAGAAGAAGCACCGGCUAACUCCGUGCCAGCAGCCGCGGUAAUACGGAGGGUGCGAGCGUUAAUCGGAAUUACUGGGCGUAAAGCGCGCGUAGGUGGCUUGAUAAGCCGGUUGUGAAAGCCCCGGGCUCAACCUGGGAACGGCAUCCGGAACUGUCAAGCUAGAGUGCAGGAGAGGAAGGUAGAAUUCCCGGUGUAGCGGUGAAAUGCGUAGAGAUCGGGAGGAAUACCAGUGGCGAAGGCGGCCUUUUGGACUGACACUGACACUGAGGUGCGAAAGCGUGGGUAGCAAACAGGAUUAGAUACCCGUGUAGUC
Molecule: ribosomal RNA, 465 nt
Filed under: Vreelandella stevensii
Lineage: Bacteria; Pseudomonadati; Pseudomonadota; Gammaproteobacteria; Oceanospirillales; Halomonadaceae
Description: partial 16S ribosomal RNA
Rfam family: Bacterial small subunit ribosomal RNA
Source: RNAcentral